Molecule: RNA transcript, 4046 nt
Organism: Manihot esculenta (cassava)
Lineage: Eukaryota; Viridiplantae; Streptophyta; Magnoliopsida; Malpighiales; Euphorbiaceae
Gene name: pentatricopeptide repeat-containing protein MRL1, chloroplastic-like
Exons: 20
Source: RefSeq, a predicted model, not a curated record
GAACCAGAGGAGACGAUGACUUCAUUUUCUCUCUUUCUCCUAUCUAUCCUCCCUCCUCCACCACCUCACUUCUCUCUGUUUCUCUUGAGUUUUUAAUAUGGAGCUGUGCUUCUCUGCUAAAUCCCAUUCCUUAAACCUAAUCUCCGGAGCUCAAAUCUCAGCUCUCUCUUGUGCUAAAUCGUCUAUUCGUAAAGAAUUCCUGGGUUGCUCUCACAAUCUCCGGCCUCCUGGUGGACCAAUUCGCGGAAGCAAAUGCAGGAAGCUUAGAAUUCGCAGAAACCAGUCUCAAAGAUUCUUAAUCAACGCUUCUUUUGGUUCCGAUUCUGUUCUUGUUGUGGUUGCUGUUUCUACUAUCUCUGCUCUCUCUUUCGCUUACCUGAAUCAGCAGUUAACCAAUCGUAACACCAACAAGAGGAGUUCUAAAGAGGAUUUGGGUUCGCCUAGUGCUGGGGUAUCUCAGUUACGCAGAAAUAUUGUGAACAUUGUUGGAAGUCCCUCUUUGGACGUUGGAGAUUCUCACAGGGGGACCCUUGCAGCAGAAAGUACGAAAUUGGCAGAGAGUAACAGAGAAAACAGCUAUGCCAUUAAAGGGAAAGAGACCCUCGUACAAGUUCUCGAGGACAAUGUAACAAGUUAUGGUUCUCUUCUAGUUGAAACAACAGAAUCUUCCAAUGCUGAUUUUUCAGUUUCUAAUGAUUCUAAUCAUGUGGUUCCAAAAGAGCCUGAGCCUCAACUCUCAUCAAUUCCUGAAUCUGGACGUAUCAAACCACUUGAGUUGGCCGAGGGAAUGUCCAAGUUGACAUUAGAAAAAAGCAGUAAUGAGCUUGACGUUAGUUCUGCGUUUCCAGAAGUAAUGACGAAGCAAUCUAAUUCUACUUCGUCUUCUGUAAAUUUUGAAGCUGGCAAAAUGGUUGACCUUGCUAGCUAUUAUGGUAUCUCUGAAGAAUCAUCUAGAGAGGAUCUUUACACAUUUUAUGAGGAAAACAAAUCAGUGGUGAAUUCAUCAUUAAACAUGAAUGGUUCAAGCACUGUGUCUUCUCAUGCCUUGUCUUCCCCUGGCAAUAGCUUUUCUUCGUUGAAGGUGAAUGCUAUAGUAAAAGAGGCAGAAUUGUCAGCGCAGCACUCCCCUCAAAUUGCAGAGUCUGUUGAAAGAAAAAUACGUGUAGCACCAUAUGAAAGAGGUUCUCGCAAAAAUGAAAACAUGGGAAGGAGAGGAUUUCCAAGAGACAAAGAAAAAGGACACCUGAUUCAAGAUGACCAUAUAAAACUACCAGAUAUUCCCUACCCAAAUGGCAUACACGCUACCGACAAAGACGAUCCUCCAAAGAAAUUCCAGACUUACAAUCGUUUGUUAAGAGAUGGAAGGUUAGCAGAGUGUUUGGAUUUGCUGGAGGAUAUGGAAAGAAGGGGUUUAUUGGAUAUGAGCAAGAUUUAUCAUGCUAAGUUUUUCAAGACCUGCAAAAUUCAAAAGGCUGUUAAGGAAGCUUUUCUCUUCUGCAAGUUGGUUCCAAACCCAACCUUGAGUACCUUUAACAUGCUCAUGUCUGUGUGUGCAAGCUCACAAGACUCAGAGGGAGCUUUCAAAGUUCUACAACUUGCUCGGGGAGCUGGAUUGAAAGCUGAUUGUAGACUUUACACUACUUUAAUAUCAACCUGUGCUAAAAGUGGAAAAGUUGAUUCAAUGUUUGAAGUGUUUCAUGAGAUGGUUAAUGCUGGAGUUGAACCAAAUGUUCAUACAUAUGGCACGCUAAUUGAUGGCUGUGGCAGAGCAAGACAAAUGGCUAAGGCAUUUGGUGCUUAUGGGAUAAUGAGAUCCAAGAACGUGAAGCCAGACCGAGUUGUCUUUAAUGCACUUAUCACUGCAUGUGGUCAAUCGGGAGCUGUGGAUCGUGCCUUUGAUGUGUUAGCAGAAAUGAGGGCCGAGGCACAACCUAUUGACCCCGAUCAUGUUACUGUUGGUGCAUUGAUAAAUGCAUGUGCAAAGGCUGGUCAGGUUGGUCGGGCAAAAGAAGUAUAUAACAUGAUGCACGAAUUUAACAUCAAGGGCACUCCUGAGGUUUAUACAAUUGCUGUCAAUUCUUGCAGCCAGACUGGUGAUUGGGAGUUUGCAAGCAGAGUGUAUGAAGACAUGAAAAGGAAAGGCGUGGCCCCUGAUGAGAUGUUUCUCAGUGCGAUGAUAGAUGUGGCGGGGCAUGCUGGAUUAGUGGAUGUUGCAUUUCAAAUCUUACAGGAAGCCAGGGUUCAAGGAUUAGAACUUGGAAUUAUACCAUAUAGUUCAUUGAUGGGAGCUUGCAGUAAUGGCAAAAACUGGCUGAAGGCACUGGAGCUGUAUGAUGAUAUGAAGUCCAUUAAACUAAACCCAACAGUCUCAACCAUGAAUGCUCUGAUCACUGCAUUGUGUGAUGGGGAUCAACUACCAAAGGCUAUUGAAGUGCUGUCAGAAAUGAAGAGUUUUGGCUUGUGCCCAAACACUGUUACAUACUCCAUGCUCUCAGUGGCCAGUGAGAGAAAGGAUGAUCUAGAGGUUGGGCUCAUGCUUCUUUCACAAGCCAAAGAAGAUUCUGUUGCCCCUACUCUUGUUAUGCGCAAAUGCAUUGUUGGUAUGUGCUUGCGGAGAUAUGAGAAGGCUUGUGCUCUUGGUCAGAAUGUUUUAUCUUUUGACUCGGGAAGGCCGCAGAUAAAAAAUGAGUUGACAUCAACAGCCUUAAUGGUCUACCGUGAAACAAUUGCAGCUGGUGAGAAACCUACAAUGGACGUUGUUUCACAAAUUUUGGGAUGCCUAAAAGUCCCUGGUGAUGCUUCACUAAAAGCCAAAUUAGUUGAAAAUGUUGGAGUAACUACUGACUCAUCAAAAUUUUCUAACCUCUGCUCAUUGUUGGAUGGAUUUGGAGAAUAUGAUCCUCGUGCUUUUUCAUUGCUUGAGGAAGCUGCUUCUCUUGGAAUCAUUCCACAUUUAUCCAUGAAAGCAAGUCCCAUUGUUAUUGAUGCUAAAACCUUGCAAAUUCAUAUUGCAGAGGUCUAUCUCUUAAACGUUUUGAAAGGUCUCAAGCAUCGUCUUGCUGCUGGUGCAAAGUUGCCCAGCAUAACCAUUUUAUUGCCUAUAGAAACAACAAAAGUCAAGAUUCAUGAAAGCGAGAAAAUGAUCAACCUAGCAGGAAGGCUUGGGCAGGAAGUUGCAUCUCUAUUGAGAAGGAUAGGGUUGCCUUACCAAGGGAAUGAAUCAUAUGGGAAGAUUAGAAUCAAUGGGGUUUCCUUAAAAAGAUGGUUUCAACCAAAGCUUUCUUCUCCUUUUAGUAGAAAACCAGGAGAGUUGAGCUCAUCCCAAUUGAUAAUUGGGAAAGGGAUCAUUCAUCAGCAGCGUAAUAUUCGGACCGGCAAUUUGUCUUUGGAAUAAGAGGAAGCAUUUUUAUUGCUGCUGAUAGGGAAACAGAUUUAAAGGAAUGAGUUAUACAAGUUUUUCCCAAGCAUGAGAUACAUAUCAGUUUUAUGAAUGACCUAGUCUCAUUAUCAUGCUGCAGCAAGAUAUUGCGUCCCUGUUCUUGGAUAGCUUUUGCAAAAUUUUGAAACAGAAACUGAGGUCACCUUCUGUCUGAAGAUGUGGUAGGAUACUUCAAGAGCAACGUAAAUGCAGUGAAUAUGGCCUAAGAUUAUACCAUUUCCGGCUGAAAUAAAAAGAGAUUAUGUAUUCAACGGUCACUCUUCUGUGUCCAUUUUGAAGAGAAAUAAAUAAAUUAUGUCCACUCCUGCAGCUUUAAGGAUGGAAGCUUCAAGCUGCAAUGUGAAAGCAAGUGCAAGAGUACGAAAAUUGUUGCAUCACAUAAUGUAUAAUAAUGAAUGCCACUUGUACUGAGAAGACAUCAUCUGCCAAUUUACAUUGUCAAUCUUUUGAAGAAUUUUUUCUGCAGGAGUUAAUCAUGGGAGGUUACCUUGUAAAAGUACUAUGUUUGUUUGCUCUGAUGAAAUGUUAGUGACUUUGGAGCAUUCAAGCAGGCUUGAUUUUGAAAGGAAAAUGGUAGGCAUAUCAUACCCUAGUUUCAUGAACCCAA